CUCAGCCUCCGGAGUAGCUGAGACCACAGGCGCCCGCCACCACGCCCGGCUAAUUUUUUUGUAUUUUUAGUAGAGACGGGGUUUCACCGUGUUAGCCAGGAUGGUCUCAAUCUCCUGACCUCGUGAUCCGCCCGCCUCGGCCUCCCAAAGAAUCUCCUUUUAAGAUUACAUUCUGUUCUCAGCCCCACGCAAACUUCUACAGACCUUCAGACAGAGCUGAAUUCCUUGGCCAGAGUAGAGUUCCACUGGCACACCGGGCAGCAAGCGCCAGCCAGCCAACCGUGCAGGCUCCCAGUGGCAGCUGUGGUUUUUCCCCCGCCCGUCGUGGCCGUUGCCGUGGCCAUUUCAUCUGGGGGCUCCAUCUGGGAUAUUCAUCAGAAGGGGUCACAGGUCGCAGGAGCCUCUCCCAACAGCUCAGGGCACAAGGUGGAAACCAGCAUUGGACAAGACAUCAUCUUAUCUCAGGUACACACACACAGACAUUCACUCCUCCUGGGAUGAUGUAGACAUACCAAUUCACUUAAAGUGUACACCUUUGGGAUGUGGGAGAAAACCCAAUUACUUGGAGAUAUUUGAGAACCUGCUAUAUAAACUCUUCUUAUGCUACAUAAAAUAGGUAAUACCUAGAAUUUAUCAAAAUUAACUCUAACUAGAUAUUAAUUUAGUCAUUUCUAAAGUCUUAGUGGGUUGCAUAAAGCAGUGCUGUCAACUGGUGAUAUAAAGAAAGUUUUAGGCCAUACUCCCUUUCCCACUGUCACCAGUGGUAUCAAUUUUGUCUACAUUUUUUCUCUCUGGCAUGUUUCUGCAGUUUUCCUUCUAUUAACUUCUUUUCUCUUCAAGACUGCCCAUAGUCAUUAACAAACAUGUUCUUAUUGCGGAAAUAGAAGAAAGAUAAAUAUGCAGUGUGAUCUCUACCGCUUAAUCAAAUAUUUGUCAUUAUUCAGGGUACUUGGAGACAUUUUCAGCUGUUGAAACAGCUGCAAACUUAGGGAUUUCCAAUGGAAGCAAAGAGAGAGAGAUUGAUACUCAGAUAUAGUAAUGUAAAAUACUCUCAUUUUACUAACAAAAAAUUAAAACUCAGAGCACUGGUUGACUUAGCAAAUGUCAUCCAUAUAUGUUGGGGAAAAGUGAAUACUUGAACUGGUAUGCUGACAAGACAGUGCUUUCCAUUCGGAUUUUCACAUGUAUGUCCCUGCAAUAUAACUUUGCCUAUUUUUCAAGAUAUUUUCUAGCCCUUCUUUUAAGAGGUAAGUACAAGCUGGGCUCGGUGGCUCAUGCCUGCAAUCCCAGCACUUUGGGAGGCCGAGGCAGGUGGAUCACCUGAGGUCAGGAGUUUGAGACCAGCCUGUCCAACAUGGAGAAACCCCAUCUCUACUAAAAAUACAAAAAUUAGCCGGGUGUGGUGGUGCAUGUCUGUAAUCCCAGUUACUCGGGACGCUGAGACAGGAGAAUUGCUUGAACCCAUGAGGUGGAGGUUACAGUGAGCCGAGAUUGCGCCAUUGCACUCCAG
RNAcentral lists this long non-coding RNA (1510 nucleotides) under Homo sapiens (human). Its description in RNAcentral is "PREDICTED lncRNA (TCONS_00174159)". The record is from RNAcentral. Lineage: Eukaryota; Metazoa; Chordata; Mammalia; Primates; Hominidae.